CUUGCUUGCUCGCUUUGUGGUAUCUUCCACAUGCCCCAUUAACCUGUUAGGAGCUGAUGUUCUUUCACGCCUGCAGGCAUCCAUCACCUUUACCCCAGAUGGACAAGUGGAACUAUCCACCCCUCUAUCUGUCUCAGACACCUCAGCUUUGUGCUCCUUACCCCUGAUGCUACAUCUAGAAGAGCCUCAUGGGGAUGCAAUAGACCUAAGGACUAAUUUCCCUGAUUCACUAAAGACUGAUGUUCCCAAGAAGCUGUGGUCCACAGGCCCAGAGGACAUAGGCCAUCUAAAGGUCCCGCCUGUGGUGGUAAAGCUCAUCCCAGGCGUAAAAAUUGCCACGAAAAUCACAGUAUCCUUUGAAACCAGCUCAAGCUGCAGCCAUUACAAUUCAAAUUCAAGCACUCCUGGAGAAGGGUGCUCUUGUCAAAUGUGAAUCACCAUGCAAUACUCCAUUAUUUCCAGUAAAGAAAAAGACUCCAAAAGGCGAACCAGAAAAGUACAGAUUGGUCCAAGACCUCAGAGCGGUAAAUUAAGCCACAGUUUUGGACACUCCAAUAGUGCCCAACCCACACACUCUCCUUUCCGGCGUUCCACCCUCUGCCAAGUACUUCACUGUCAUUGAUCUGGCCAAUGCCUUCUUCAGUGUUCCCCUGGAUCCAACUUGCCAAUAUCUGUUUGCUUUCACACAUGAAAAACAACAGUACACAUGGACUGUCAUGCCCCAAGGGGCACAAAAUUCACCAAGUCAGUUUGCGAAGGCCAUGUGCUCUAUCCUUGAUCCAUGGCAAUCUGACCACCCUGAGGUCGUCCUGCUUCAAUAUGUGGAUGAUUUGCUGCUUUGUGGAGAUGAUAUACCCACAACAGAACAAUGCUCACUUAAUAUUCUUUGCUACCUAGCAGAACAAGGAUGUAAAGCUUCACGUCUCAAGCUGCAAUUCUGCCAACCUACUGUUAUCUUCCUUGGCCAUUGUCUGUCUCAGGGAACCAGACAUCUUACCCGUGACCGAGUUAGAGCAGUACUGGACAUUCCACCUCCAAGGACCUCAAAGUCACUACACGCCUUCCUAGGCCUCAUUUCCUAUUGCCGAGCAUGGAUCCCAGAAGCCUCGCUCCUUAUGCAACCUCUUUAUGAUGCUCUCAAGUCAGACCCAUUUUGCUUGUCCACAGAAGCCCUUGACAACUUCUGUUCUCUCAAACGUGCUAUUGCUUCUGCUCCUGCUCUUGGCCUACCAGACUAUACCAAACCCUUCAAACUGUUUGUUUCCGAAAGACAAGGCCAUGCAACAGGAGUACUCACUCAGGCCCAUGGUCCUGGAGGCCGCCAAAGGCCUAUUGGAUUUUUCUCCUGCCAACUGGAUAUUGUGGCCAGAGGACGUCCCUCUUGCCUUCGGGCCGUCUUUGCUGCCAGAGAGCUCAUUGAAAGAACUGGAGAUCUUGUCCUUGGCCACCCCCUGGUUGUCUUGGCCCCUCAUGAUAUUUCUGCCAUAGUCAACCAGGUCCAACUUAAGCAUGUUACUCCUGCUAGGCAUCUUUGCCUUCAAUGUCACCUUUUGUUGCUUGACAACAUUACCCUCCAAAGAUGUCAAGUUCUCAAUCCGUCCACUCUUCUGCCACUCCCUGAGGGGGGUGUAUACUACGGAUUCAUCAUGGACGAAACUGUAUACUACGGAUUCAUCAUGGACGAAACAUGUUUUUCUUCUCACUGGCACCAUCAAGAAGGAAAUGCAUCCCAACCUAUCCUUUCAUGAUGGACAAGCACUCCUUCAUGACGGAGCAGGAUAUGCCUUCUGUACCAUGUGGUACAAAUCAAACAUCACUCCUGAACCCUGCUAUGAAGAUGAACUCUAUCAUCUGGUCGAAGUAAAACUCACUGCACAAGACUUCUACUGUGAUUCUGAAGGCAACAGUAUGGUCUUGAUUCAUCUACCUCCGGAACUCAAGCAUUUGUACCGUCAUUGGGACACUGCCAUUCCACAUGUCCCUGUGACCAAGUUGAAAACAAUAUCAUGGAAUGAUCUUGGGCCUAUGGCAAAAGCAUGGGCCACUAUGGACGAAUCACAGCUACAGGAAAAUGGUGUUGUCAAAUAUCCAACAACUGACCCUAAAAGCAUGGCCACGUCAUUUCCUGGAAAAUAAGUUCCAAGAUUUAACCAUAGUGAAUGAAUACGACCCAGAUACACCUCAUGACUGUUUUGAACAGAUGAAAAUGGAAACAACACAUCUACCAACUGUGCAUGAAGACCCAUUGGUAGAUCCCGAUCUCACCCUGUUUGUGGACGGCUCAAGAUAUGCUGAUGAAGAAGGAAGAUACCAUACAGGAUAUGCCGUAACCACAACAGAUGAAAUUGUCAAAUCAUCAUCUUUACCAUCAACUAUGUCUGCACAAGAAGCUGAAUUGCAAGCCCUGACUUCAGCAUGCAAGAUCUCUGAAGGAAAGCGCGCCAAUAUCUACACGGAUUCAAGAUAUGCACUGGGCGUGGCUCACGACUUCGGAUUAAUUUGGAAAACAAGAGGAUUUCUUACCACCGCCGGUACACCAAUCAAGCACGGUUCCGCAAUCAAGGAGCUGAUGGACGCCCUCCUACUCCCAGAAGAAGUGGCUAUUUUGAAGAUAAAAGCACAUGGGAAGUUGGACUCAGAUGAAGCAAAGGGCAACCAUCUAGCUGAUCAGGCUGCAAAACAAGCUGCAAAAGAACCACAGGAAGUGGAAAGAAGAGUGUCCGGAAAUGAAGAAACUCCCAUAUUUACUCUGCAGACUCUUCCAACUGACCUGAAAAUCCUGCUGGAACAACAGGCUACAGUUGCCCCUGAAGAAAUACAGAAGUGGAAACAGAAAGGGGCAGUUCUGAAGGAUGGAGUGUACUCCAACAACCUCAAUUUCUGCCUCCCUAAGAAUUUGUACCCAGCAGUCGUACAAUGGGCACACAGACCUGCACAUUUAUCAAAAGAUCUAAUGAAUGCUCUUGUACAAAAAUACUACCUCAUUGUCCCCAUACGAGAUUCUAUUUGGGACUGCACCUAGGCUAGGUUGCUAUUUUCCCCAACAACUACAACUUCAAACUGAUGUUUUAGUAGAUUAUGUAACUGAACUCGCAAAUGCUUUGAACAAAAUCCAUGCCCAAGUUUUCUCUUCAAUUCCAGAUCCUGAUUCUGACACAGGCAACCACAGUCUGCUCCCCGGUGACUGGGUUCUGGUCAAGAAAUUUGUGCGAAAACACACCCUGGAACCAAGAUUUGACGGACCGUUCCAAGUUCUCCUGAUCUCCCCUACCUCUGUCAAAUUGGCCGGAAGGCCUAACUGGAUCCACGCUUCCCAUUGCAAGAAGACACCUGCCCCAGAGGAAGCUAACUCUAUGCAACCAUGUGCCUCUGGUACAUUAUCUCCUUAGUUGGCCUCCUUAAAGCCCAGCAGGUGGCCAUCACCAAAGAUGCUAGUGGGUACACUUUCUGGUAUAAUUCAUCAUGUACCCAUGUGGCUACAUUCACUUUUGAUUACUGUGAUAUUGUAGAGUGCCCAUUCCCUAAGUCACAGAUUCAAGCCAUUUAUAAAGAUAUACCACAAGCAAAAGACCCUUACGUUUGUGUAGUAGAUGAACAAUGGGGUUAUGACUGUAACUACUGGGGGGCUGCGGGAUGGAAUACUGGGCCUGCCUGGGGUUAUAAACCCAAAAGUGCUUUAUCUAAGAUAGACAAUCAGGGUAGAUCCCUCCUUCAAAGAAUGACUUUAAGAAAGCCUGGAGGAAGUACCCCUAUGAAAUUAAUGUUAAAUAUUGAACAUCCUGGCCCCGAGGAUGCAGACCGAUAUGUAAUGGGAAUGUAUUGGAAGAAAGGUUCCUACAACAAAUUAGGUCAUUUCUACCUCAGAGAUAUGUCCCACUCUCCAGAGUGGCAAGGGGCUGAUCAUAUGGUCCCAAAUCCGCUAAAACCACAUAUCCAGUCAUUUAAAGAUAUGAUGGCCAUCGCUAACCCCACUUUUGAAGAUACCAUGGCCGCUGAAACUGGAUUCAAUGACAUUAAUCUGUGGUUAGAAUGGAUGAGGUAUAAUGCUAACAAACAUAAUAAAACAGCAUGUUAUGUAUGUGGCGGUGCCCGACCCCACCUUGGCACCGUCCCCCUAAUUCUCCCUUUAGAGAUAGAAGAUUGCUUCUUAAGCCUUUUUGCCUCCCAAUAUGACUUUAAUAGGUCCCUCUGCAUGGCAUGGACGGCAGAAUACCCUCUCUUAGUUGAAAAUGUUAAGCCACCAGAUGGAAUCACAGUCUAUAGAGGUAAUUACACUUGUUAUGCCGUGUAUGACGGGAUUGGUAAAUUCAUGGGUAACUUUUCUAAAGGUUAUUGCGCCACUUACAGAACUGUUCCUAUACGCCUGUUGCAACACCAUACCAGGUCAUUGGGGGAUAUUUACUGGUUAUGUGGGGAUCUACAGUUAAGAUCUAGGCUGGAAACUGAGUGGUGGGGUGAGUGUACCCUGGCCAAAGUUAUCAUGCCCAUUCAUAUUAUUUCUGAUAAUCAUCAUGACACAUACGACCCUCCACAUACAUCAGCCAGAGUAAGGCGCGAAACCCCAGUAAAAGGCAGUUUUGACCCCCACAUUUACAUAGAUGCCAUUGGGGUGCCUAGGGGGUACCUAAUGAAUUUAAAGCUAGAGAUGAAGUAGCUGUAGGUUUUGAAUCACUUUUUACCAUAGUCACUGCCAACAAAAACCUUAAUUGGAUUAAUUAUAUCUAUUACAACCAACAGCGCUUCGUGAACUACACCAGGGAUGCCCUCCAGGGCUUGGCCGAGCAAUUACAGGCCACAUCCCAAAUGACCUUCCAGAACAGACUGGCCUUAGACAUGAUCUUAGCCGAAAAAGGGGGAGUCUGUAAAAUACUUCCCGACACUAUGACUUGUUGUACUUACAUUCCAGAAAACACAGGUCCUAAGGUAAAGUCACUCUGGCCAUAGCUAAAUUAAAUAGACUCUCAGAAGAGUUAAAGAGAAACUCUGGAGUUACUGAUCCCUGGGAAAAAUGGUUUGGUUGGAUGACUGGUUGGCAGAGAGCUUUAGUCCAGAUUGGUAUUGCCUUACUAAUUUUUCUUUUUAUUCUCGCUCUUCUCAUUUGUUGUGGCCUCCCAUGCCUAAGGAAAUUCAUGCAGAAAACUGUAGACCAAGCAACACCAACCUUCACUCAUCUGACAAUCGAUGAUCAAGACCUCAUCUCACCCUGUAUUCCGCUACAAACUCUCCCUUAUACUGAUGAAGUGCAGAAAGUCUAGGAAGGGACAGUACAGGGACAGCGUCCGUCUUUAUGGGUAGACUGCCGUACGGAGAAGUAGUGGAUAAGCCACUAUGGGUUACCAGCGGAGUGAAGAGUGUUCCUGAACCGUACUGACGGAUGUGCUGCAGCCUGUUAGGGUCAAGAGAGGGAUAGACUUGCACUUUGCAUUAACACUAAGUCAGCGGUCAUGGGGUUUCUGUGUCUUUGGGCUAAUACUUCUUCUGAUACUAACAAAUAAAGUUUUGUCUUUUAGCAAAUAACAUUUUAGGGGGGACUGUUGUAGAAUUAUUAGGCCUCUAUAAAUCUGUAAGGCCCCUUUAAAUCCUCUUGCUAUACCUCUAAGAGGCCCCCAUAGUUUUACAAGAAAGCUUUGUCUAUAGAACAUAGAAUUUGCAUGUCAGCAAGAAAUAGCUUUGAUAAAAUGUGUAUUUACUAAAAGCCUUGAAACCUAACCUUGAGAAACUAACCGUGCCAGCUACACUCUAAAUGGAUGGCUGCCAAAGCACCCCUCCCAUCGAGUGAACACCUCGUGCUAACAAGAUGGCGCCUACAUCUUGUGUCCACUCCCGUGUCAAGGAUGACAUCACCUCUUGAUAGGAGGGUACCUAACUAACCACUUAACACCUGGACCAAUCAAUAGUGUCUAUUUGUCUAUAUCUUGAUUUUCUUCAAUGAUGUAAUAAUGCCUUUAUAAGGGUCUGCGCACCCAUUUUCUGUCAGAAGCCAUUAAACUUCUCUGAAGUUCUUUCAUUACCCUGAACCUUGUGUCUCAGUGUGAAUUUACUUCUGCGUGCACGCAACUUUAUUAUCUUUAAUUUGGACAGGAACAGAUAGUCAUUCAAACUAAUUGGUUUGCAGUAAAUUAUCUAGAACAAGUGUUGCUGUGUAUGCUUUGUGUCAGUAUUCCUGUGUAUUUCUACGUGUAUACAAUUAGAGGCAAUUUCUGUACACCCAAGCCAAUUAUGUCAAUUUAAGAAAAUUUUACACCCCUGAUAUUUUCCGCCUUCCCCUUUGAACUCAAUAUCCCUGCAAUAUAUCCUAUAAUUUAAAAGCUUUAUACUGCCGCCUCCCUUUACCUUGAUUGCCAUAUGGUGCAUACUGUUGCCUGGGGACCAGUGGCUCCAUGUGUAAGUAAAUAUUUCAAAGCACAAUGUUAUGACAUCAUGUCAUGCAAUGUCUUUGCUCUGUAUUGUGUAUUUAGGCUGAAGCGGAGACUUAAGGGGUGUGUGUGCAGCUGGUCAUUAUACACACCUCCUUCUUCACUGAAUUCCUAUGCAAAAUCUAAGCCUAACCAGGCUGGCUUGCCACUCUCAUAGGAUGAACUGUACCAUCAUCCAUGGGGUUUUGGCUAUCAAAAUGUGACAGCUUCCUGUAAAUUGCACUGUUAUUACUCUGCCACGGCUGUGCAUUGGCACCUAAUCUUCCAAAGACACCAUGUGUGCCGUCGAUGGCAUCCGUGCCAUAGGAUGUCAAGCUCUGAACAAGAGGUCCUGCUGGAGCUGGAUGGAUUCUCUGUAUCUGCUUCCAUCUCCUAAUUAUACUUGUUUGCACACUUCCGAUGUCUUUAUAAAAAAAAAAAAAAAAAAAAUUUUUUUUUUGCACCUUUUAUAAUGAUAUGUGUUUUUGUAUUGUCACAUUAGCAGGUAACAUUUAUGCAUCUGCCUACUUCACAGCUUCACAGAUUUCCGAUUAGUCAUCAUCCGCAAGUCCUCCUGAGGUCCAAAUCCUCGUGCCCCUCAAUUAUAUCCCAGCACCAUUUUUCUAUACUUACGUUACAUGUGUCAUAUGUAUCACAUCUCUCUGUCUGCACCUGUAAAACUUGCAGUGUGUGUUUAAACUGCAAUAAAUGUGUUGAUAGAUGCGUAUGUGCAAAUAAAACAUUCAGAGUUACUGGGUUAUUCGAUAAUUGAGAAUUCAAAUGUAAAACCAGAUUAGUUAAAUUGAAAACAAAGAUGUCUUAGAUAAUUUUUCCAGUUCAGCUAAUGUGACCUUACAUUGGAAAUUCUCUUUGAAUUCUAACUUUUGUGAAUAACACUGAUGGUGUUCUUGAUCUAAAUUAGUUACCAAGUUACUUCAAUAGUUAUGAAAAGAUGAUAAUUCACCUGCUACCACUAACUACACCUUAUAAUAGCUUGGCAAUGUAGGACAAUUCUAUUACACGAUAAUGAUAGUUGAAAAACAAAACAGACACUGACUCAUUUAUUCAUUUCCAUUUUUUAGUUUAAUAUUGGUGAGUAAUAAUGGGGAAGGAAUAUGUGUCAGAAAACGUCCAUAUAAAUCUAACAGGGUGUUUCCUUAAAGGGACACUGUAGUCACCAGAACCACUACAGCUUAAAGGGACACUGUAGGCACCCAGACACUUCAGCUCAUUGAAGUGGUCUGGGUGCAAUGAGCUGUGUCCCUUAAGCCUCCAAUAGUAAUUAUUGCAGUUAUUGAGAAACUGCAAUAAUUACUAUCCAGGGUUAACUCAACCUCUAGUGGCUGUCUACCAGACAGCCACUAAAGGAAGUUUCUGGUUUGAAAUAGCCUCCAAAUGCUUUCCUAUGGCAAAGCAUUGGAUUGGCUGAGAAUUUCAUGUUUGAUGAUCUCAGCCAACGAGGCGGAGCAAGGAGAGAACAGCCACGGCUAGGCGCUGAAAAAAGGAGAAUAACAUCACCUUUUUACUGUGUAAAGAGAUGGGAGCCGUGACCUAAAUAGUCAUUUUACACUAUAGUGUCAGGAAUAUGUUUGUGUUCCUAAUAUUAUAGUGUUCCUUUUAUGUGUGAAAUGUUAUUCAAACCUCCCUCUAAAAUGACUUUCACAUUUGCCCAACAGUUGUUGCUGUUGCUUUUUUGUGCAUAUUUGUCUGUCUGCGUUCUACAGAUCUACACAGAAGUCCACUUUUUUCAAGCAAGCUUACUGCACUUCUACUGUAACUUGUGUCUUAAAUAUUUCCACAUUAGUAUCAGGUAUCAGGGGAUAUUUACAGUGUCCUAGCUUCCUUUUUUUUUUUCUCUUUGGUUUCCAGUUUAGCAACUCAGAUUUCUUUUUCUUUUUUUUCUUCUUUUUUUUUACAAUAUUUAUUCUUUUAUAUAUCGGGUGAAACAUGGUACAGUUAAAAAGAAAUACAUUGUUCAAGUUACAAAUUACAAGGUUAAACGCCUAAUGAAUUAAAGUGUACUCUCUAUCUCCUCUAGCAUCAGCGAUGGGGGCGGAGGGGGUGAGCCUAAUGCGCAUGUGAGACGACCCUGAAUCAAUGCUUUCCUAUGUGGAUUUUCAAGAAGCUGGGCGUACUCAUGCAAAGCGUGAGGAUGUCUAGUGACGCUUCAUGGAGUUAAAGGGAUUCUCCAGUGCCAGGAAAACAUAUUGCAGGACCCUGUAGUGCUCCUCUCCCUCCCACACCCCAUCCCAAGUUGCUGAAAGUGUUAAAACCCCUUCAGUGACUUACCCGAGUCCAGCGCUGAUGUCUCUCGGCGCUGGGUCAGGCACCACCUACUCUCCUCCCCCGCCGACGUCAGCUGGCGGGGGAGACCUAAUGCGCAUGGGCGGCAAUGGCCGCAAAUGCGCAUUAGACCUAUGGGAAUUUCGGCAACGCUGGAGGUCCUCACAUAGUGUGAGGACCUCCAGCAUCGUUUAAAACACGUUUCGUGUAAUAAGAACAUGGAAGUCCCUCUAGUGGCUGUCUGAUAGACUUAACCCUGCAAGGUAAUUAAUGCAGUUUAUGAAAACUGCAAUAAUUACACUUGCAGGGUUAAGGGUAGUGGGAGUUGGCACCCAGACCACUCCAAUGGGCAGAAGUGGUCUGGGUGCCUGGAGUGUCCCUUUAAACUCUGUGAAAGGCCAAGAAGUCUGGGAGACAGCCCCUACCUAGAAGCAGUCUUAGCCCUGCAAUAUAAACAUUGUUUCUCUGAAACAGCAAUCUUUUCACUUGCAGGCUUAAGGUGACAGGAACACGGACAGUGCACCCAGUCCAUUUCAAUUAGAUAAAGUAGUUUGAGCGCCUUUAGUGUCCCUUUUUAAGUCACUUAGUUCACAUUUCUUACCCUUUCUGAUUGGGAUUAAUACUCCAAGCGCCACGACACUCCUGGCACCAUAACCACUAUGGUGGGCUGUAUGGGUUUUGGCGCUUGGUGUUUUACGUGUAUUUGUAAAAUUCAUCGAAUAACACUGUAUGUGAUUUUUCACAUAAGAGAUGGAUAAACAGAAAUUAACAAUAGUGACUAUGGCCACAGUCCAGAGGCCACCAAAACAAGGUAAAUACAAAGAGAAAGACUGGAUCCACAUAGCAGUCCAGUUGUAUAGCACCUUGCCAUGAACUCUGUAAAUAUAAAACUAUAUAUAUAUAUAUACUGUAUAUAUAACACAGGUAGGGGAGGUGUUUCCCUGGGUUAUCUGUUUGCUUCAGCCAAUAAUAUGGUUUGAAGGCCAAGUAGGAAGUGUAGCCGCGAGGGUGAUUCUGGGAGUUGUGGUCCACAGUUAGCUUUAGUCAUAUCUAGUACUGGAGCGAGGUACUACAUAUCCCGGCAUGCAUCUGGAGUGACCUGGAGCUGUGUCUGCAGUAGGAUUGCAGAGAGAUAUCUGCUGAUUUCCCAGGGAGAGGUAAUUAGCUGCAAUAACUACACAGAUUUGGGCUUCUGUACCCCUUGCUGGUCAUUCUUUUACCAUGUGACUUUCUGCUCCUCUUUGCUAUAGCCAUGACUUUGUCACCUUGUCACUUACCUGUCAAUAUGUCUGCUAUUGUGUCACCUACUUACCCCUCUCCCAACUAUAGUGAUACAUAUCUGCCUCUAUUUACUUCAUCCUGUUACCCUGUCCAUUUCUCUACUUCAUUACCUUGGCAGGUAUCAGCUCUUCCCAAUACUGGCAUCAUGUGCCCCUCUCAGAUAACAUGUCACAAUACCAGCUCCUUUCUAUGGUCCAUUACCACCUACCUGCCCUUCUAUAUGCCCCCUCUAUCUCUAAUGCUCUCACAUAACUGCCCCUCUAUCUCUAAUGCUCUCACAUAACUGCCCCUCUAUCUCUAAUGCUCUCACAUAACUGCCCCUCUAUUUCUAAUGCUCUCACAUAACUGCCCCUCUAUCUCUAAUGCUCUCACAUAACUGCCCCUCUAUCUCUAAGGCUCUCACAUAUCUACCCCACUCUCUCUAAGGCUCUCACAUAUCUACCCCACUCUCUCUAAGGCUCUCACAUAUCUACCCCACUCUCUCUAAGGCUCUCACAUAUCUACCCCAUUCUCUCUAAGGCUCUCACAUAUCUACCCCACUCUCUCUAAGGCUCUCACAUAUCUACCCCACUCUCUCUAAGGCUCUCACAUAUCUACCCCUCUCUCUCUAAGGCUCUCAUAUAUCUACCCCUCUCUCUCUAAGGCUCUCACAUAUCUACCCCUCUCUCUCUAAGGCUCUCACAUAUCUACCCUUCUCUCUUUAAGGCUCUCACAUAUCUACCCUUCUCUCUCUAAGGCUCUCACAUAUCUACCCCUCUCUCUCUAAGGCUCUCACAUAUCUACCCUUCUCUCUCUAAGGCUCUCACAUAUCUACCCUUCUCUCUCUAAGGGUCUCACAUAUCUACCCCUCUCUCUCUAAGGCUCUCACAUAUCUACCCUUCUCUCUCUAAGGCUCUCACAUAUCUACCCCUCUCUCUCUCUAAGGCUCUCACAUAUCUACCCCUCUCUCUCUCUAAGGCUCUCACAUAUUUGCCCCACUUUCUCUAAUGCUCUCACCUAUCUGCCCCUCUGUCUAUCAGCUAUAGCGUAACUGCCCCUCUCUCUCGAAUGCUCUCACAUAUCUGCCCUCUCUCUCGAAUGCUCUCACAUAUCUGCCCUCUCUCUCGAAUGCUCUCACAUAUCUGCCCCCUCUCUCGAAUGCUCUCACAUAUCUGCCCCCUCUCUCAAAUGCUCUCACAUAUCUUCCCUCUAUCUCUAAGGCUCUCACAUAUCUGCCCCUCUGUCUAUCAGCUAUAGCUUAUCUGCCGCUCUCUUGGUUUCUGGCAUAUCAACCCUUCUCUCUUUUUUAUGUUCUCACAUAUCGCUGUUGUACAAGAAAUAUUUGUUCUCUGAAUAAUGAUUCUUUUCUAAAUUUAACUGUAGAUCAGUCAUUGAGAUCAUUGGGACCGUUAUGUACAGAAUAGAUCAGCAGAAUGUUCUGUGAUCUACAUUUCUGAAAAUAUUACCACUAAAUCACCAUAAGGACAUUUUUUCGAAACGCUGGUUCUUGGCGCAGCAUUAUUAUUUCCUAGAGUUCCCACUCUCUCCACGUUAUUCAGCGGCCCCUAGAGGUGACUCUUUCUUAUUUUAUGUCAUUUUACAUAGAUGUGUCUCUGUAGCUUGUUUUACGUUAACAGGGAUAUAGUCUCCCUUACUGUCACUGCUUGCNNNNNNNNNNNNNNNNNNNNNNNNNNNNNNNNNNNNNNNNNNNNNNNNNNNNNNNNNNNNNNNNNNNNNNNNNNNNNNNNNNNNNNNNNNNNNNNNNNNNAGCUACUGUAAUUUUACCCAUUGAGGGCCAGCCCACCACUUUCCUAGUUGACACAGGUGCAGCCCAAAGUGUUCUGAGAGAACAAGACCUGCCUGAUACCUCAUUUCUUUCCAAUAUUGAUGUCUCCUGUGUUGGGGUGGACGGCCUUCCAAGGCAAAGUCCCCUGUCCACCCCACUGCGGGUUGGUAACUGCCACAACUUGCUUGCUCGCUUUGUGGUAUCUUCCACAUGCCCCAUUAACCUGUUAGGAGCUGAUGUUCUUUCACGCCUGCAGGCAUCCAUCACCUUUACUCCAGAUGGACAAGUGGAACUAUCCACCCCUCUAUCUGUCUCAGACACCUCAGCUUUGUGCUCCUUACCCCUGAUGCUACAUCUAGAAGAGCCUCAUGGGGCUGCAAAAGACCUAAGGACUAAUUUCCCUGAUUCACUAAAGACUGAUGUUCCCAAGAAGCUGUGGUCCACAGGCCCAGAGGACAUGGGCCAUCUAAAGGUCCCGCCUGUGGUGGUAAAGCUCAUCCCAGGCGUAAAAUUGCCACGAAAAUCACAGUAUCCUUUGAAA
RNAcentral lists this long non-coding RNA (12265 nucleotides) under Pelobates cultripes (western spadefoot toad). The record is from RNAcentral. Lineage: Eukaryota; Metazoa; Chordata; Amphibia; Anura; Pelobatidae.